RNAcentral lists this ribosomal RNA (484 nucleotides) under uncultured bacterium. RNAcentral describes it as "partial 16S ribosomal RNA". It matches the Rfam family "Bacterial small subunit ribosomal RNA", at positions 30 to 507 of the family's 1533-position model. The record is from RNAcentral.
AUUGAACGCUGGCGGCAGGCCUAACACAUGCAAGUCGAGCGGAUGAAGGGAGCUUGCUCCUGGAUUCAGCGGCGGACGGGUGAGUAAUGCCUAGGAAUCUGCCUGGUAGUGGGGGAUAACGUCCGGAAACGGGCGCUAAUACCGCAUACGUCCUGAGGGAGAAAGUGGGGGAUCUUCGGACCUCACGCUAUCAGAUGAGCCUAGGUCGGAUUAGCUAGUUGGUGGGGUAAAGGCCUACCAAGGCGACGAUCCGUAACUGGUCUGAGAGGAUGAUCAGUCACACUGGAACUGAGACACGGUCCAGACUCCUACGGGAGGCAGCAGUGGGGAAUAUUGGACAAUGGGCGAAAGCCUGAUCCAGCCAUGCCGCGUGUGUGAAGAAGGUCUUCGGAUUGUAAAGCACUUUAAGUUGGGAGGAAGGGCAGUAAGUUAAUACCUUGCUGUUGUGACGGUACCAACAGAAUAAGCACCGGCUAACUUCGUG